ACAGUUGUGAGGCAGCAUUGGAACUAGGACUGGAAGGACCUCAACCUCCUCCCAGAGUGAAAUCAGAGCCUCUCAGCAUUAAUGUUAACUACCCUCCUGACUCAUUCGACCCUCAGCAGGAGGUCGUCGAGCUCAAUGAUGGUGAUAAGAUCACGCUUAAUUGCUCAGUAGGAGGAAAUCCUCCACCUCUGUACACCUGGAGCUCACUGCACCUGCAGGAGAGUGACGAUAAUCAGCCGCUUUUCACAGCUUCUUCCUCAGGCACUUACACCUGUACUGCGUACAAUUUACUGGGCAAAUCAAGCAAGCAGUUCAUCGUCAAGCUCAAAUCCAAAGGUGUUUAGAGUCUUCCUGGUGUUUAAACUGGAUGGAUUUACAGAUGGUGUGGAGACCUCACGAAGACGUCCAAACACACCAGAGCGCGGCAAUGAAUUUUUUUUUUUUUUUUUACCUAUACAUUUUCCCUGUAAUUAUCACACACAUGAAUAUUUCUAACAUUGUGUAUAAUGUCUAUGAUAGUCGAUUUAAUGUCUCAGCUUGUUUAACAUUUUUCAACGUAUUUGUAAAAUAAAAUGAGCACAUAGACCCCUGGGGUUUUUUUAAAAUCCAUUUUAUCUGGUAGAUCUACAUACGGGUUCACAUUGUUUGCAGGGGAGCUGGUAUGAAUUUUGGACCGUUUUCCUUCUCCUGGACAUGUUUUGUUCCCUAGGGCUCACUUGGAUGCUUCUUCACUCAGGGCCACCCUUGAGAAAUUCUACUUCAAAGUAUAGACUCUGUGUCAAAAUCCAGCAAAACGCUGUACUCAAGUGAAAGUAAAUAAAGUUACUUUAAAAUGUACUCAAAGUACUAAAAAGUGAAAAGUAAAUGGUUUUUAAUUGACGGAAUUAAGUUGUGGCAUGUUUUUA
This is a long non-coding RNA of Ictalurus furcatus (blue catfish), 905 nucleotides long. RefSeq lists it as uncharacterized. Lineage: Eukaryota; Metazoa; Chordata; Actinopteri; Siluriformes; Ictaluridae. The transcript is spliced from 4 exons. The record is from RefSeq and is a predicted model, not a curated record.